RNAcentral lists this ribosomal RNA (464 nucleotides) under uncultured Klebsiella sp. RNAcentral's name for it is "bacterial SSU rRNA". It matches the Rfam family "Bacterial small subunit ribosomal RNA", at positions 339 to 795 of the family's 1533-position model. Lineage: Bacteria; Pseudomonadati; Pseudomonadota; Gammaproteobacteria; Enterobacterales; Enterobacteriaceae. The record is from RNAcentral.
CUACGGGUGGCUGCAGUGGGGAAUAUUGCACAAUGGGCGCAAGCCUGAUGCAGCCAUGCCGCGUGUGUGAAGAAGGCCUUCGGGUUGUAAAGCACUUUCAGCGGGGAGGAAGGCGUUAAGGUUAAUAACCUUGGCGAUUGACGUUACCCGCAGAAGAAGCACCGGCUAACUCCGUGCCAGCAGCCGCGGUAAUACGGAGGGUGCAAGCGUUAAUCGGAAUUACUGGGUGUAAAGCGCACGCAGGCGGUCUGUCAAGUCGGAUGUGAAAUCCCCGGGCUCAACCUGGGAACUGCAUUCGAAACUGGCAGGCUAGAGUCUUGUAGAGGGGGGUAGAAUUCCAGGUGUAGCGGUGAAAUGCGUAGAGAUCUGGAGGAAUACCGGUGGCGAAGGCGGCCCCCUGGACAAAGACUGACGCUCAGGUGCGAAAGCGUGGGGAGCAAACAGGAUUAGAUACCCUAGUAGUC